AGCCUUGUGGUGAAGACACAUCAGAUUGCAAAUCUGAAGACGCAGGCUGACACCUGCCGGGGCUU
This 65-nucleotide transfer RNA is filed under the name Notacanthus arrontei. RNAcentral describes it as "tRNA-Cys". It matches the Rfam family "tRNA". From Rfam's summary of the family: Transfer RNA (tRNA) molecules are approximately 80 nucleotides in length. Their secondary structure includes four short double-helical elements and three loops (D, anti-codon, and T loops). The record is from RNAcentral. Lineage: Eukaryota; Metazoa; Chordata; Actinopteri; Notacanthiformes; Notacanthidae.